AGAGACAGAGGUGCACUUCCUACUGCACUGUGACAGAUACUCUGGGAUUAGAGAAACAUUCUUCUCUAAAUUCAGAAAUCUAAUCCCAGAGUUCCCACACCUGCCAGAAUCACAACAGGUCCCAGUCCUACUGGGAGAUUGAGGAGGGAACUCAGUUGAACUGGCAGCCCAGUAUGUGAUCUCUUGUCCCAGCUUGAGGAACAGCGAGCCUGUCUCCCAAUGAUGCUCCGUGUGUUUGUAUGUAAAUGUCCCAUGAUGUGUAUAUAUUGUAAAGGUAUGUAAAUGUCUGUAUAUUUUAUGUUAAUUGUAUAUGAUUUGGCAACACCGAGUUCUCCAUUGGUCAUGCCGAUCAAGUUGUUGACGUGAGCUGAGUCUGCUACAGUCUGAUCAGGAGUGGGGACGACUCGGAGCAGCUGAGGCUGAAACGUCACUGGGAUACGAGAGGAAGAGGGCUGUUGCUUUUCCUGGGGGUCCGGUUGGCGGGGCGCGUCGUAUGGUCUCCAGACCCGGACUUCAGCGCGUUUACAGACCCGCGACACUGCUGCCACUGCCGCCGUUUAGCGGGCAGUGAUACAUGUUGCAGAAAAGAGAGGACUGCCCCUUUAAAGAACUGGGCCCCCCCCUCCUCCUCCUCCUCUUCCUCCCCCCCCGCCCGGCCCCUCACCUCCGCCUUGCUGUGGAUCUGCUCCACACCCACCCACACUCGGCACGGACACAGAACCGAAACUGCGCGCACGGCUCUGCACAAAGGCGCUUACUGGGAGUAACAGGAAGAAAAGGCGAGCGUCUGUCUGCUUCGGGAUACAAGACCACUGAAUCAUUUGCAGCACCAGCAGCGGCGGCCAUGUGUGGGAUCUGA
RNAcentral lists this long non-coding RNA (859 nucleotides) under Lepisosteus oculatus (spotted gar). RNAcentral's name for it is "lncRNA (ENSLOCG00000023291.1)". Lineage: Eukaryota; Metazoa; Chordata; Actinopteri; Semionotiformes; Lepisosteidae. The record is from RNAcentral.